CGAAGGGGGCUAGCGUUGUUCGGAAUUACUGGGCGUAAAGCGUAUGUAGGCGGAUCGUUAAGUCGGGGGUGAAAUCCCGAGGCUCAACCUCGGAACUGCCUUCGAUACUGGCGAUCUUCGAGUCCGGGAGAGGUGAGUGGAACUCCGAGUGUAGAGGUGAAAUUCGUAGAUAUUCGGAAGAACACCAGUGGCGAAGGCGGCUCACUGGCCCGGUACUGACGCUGAAAUACGAAAGCGUGGGGAGCAAACAGGAUUAGAUACCCUGGUAGUCCACGCCGUAAACGAUGGGUGCUAGCCGUUGGGCAGCAUGCUGUUCGGUGGCGCAGCUAACGCAUUAAGCACCCCGCCUGGGGAGUACGAUCGCAAGAUUA
RNAcentral lists this ribosomal RNA (371 nucleotides) under uncultured organism. Its description in RNAcentral is "bacterial SSU rRNA". It matches the Rfam family "Bacterial small subunit ribosomal RNA", at positions 526 to 896 of the family's 1533-position model. The record is from RNAcentral.